UAGCUCAGUCAGUUGAGCGUAGCGCUAACAACGUUAAGGUUGCGGGUUCGAUUCCCAU
Molecule: transfer RNA, 58 nt
Filed under: Apaloderma vittatum (bar-tailed trogon)
Lineage: Eukaryota; Metazoa; Chordata; Aves; Trogoniformes; Trogonidae
Rfam family: tRNA
About the family: Transfer RNA (tRNA) molecules are approximately 80 nucleotides in length. Their secondary structure includes four short double-helical elements and three loops (D, anti-codon, and T loops). Further hydrogen bonds mediate the characteristic L-shaped molecular structure. tRNAs have two regions of fundamental functional importance: the anti-codon, which is responsible for specific mRNA codon recognition, and the 3' end, to which the tRNAs corresponding amino acid is attached (by aminoacyl-tRNA synthetases). tRNAs cope with the degeneracy of the genetic code in two manners: having more than one tRNA (with a specific anti-codon) for a particular amino acid; and 'wobble' base-pairing, i.e. permitting non-standard base-pairing at the 3rd anti-codon position.
Source: Rfam by way of RNAcentral